GUCCAAUCAGGGACUUUAAUAAAACGAAGCCUGCCAGCCCAGGGCGCUACCCAUUCGCUGCGCGCGGAAGACCGAGAGUUCACGCCGGGGACAAGGGCGACCCGGCCGGGGGUGGGUGGGGAGUGGGGGGUGGGAUUCCCAACCCACCGGGGCUGCGGGCCCCCUUUCAUGGCGCCUUUUGUUGGGCUCGCCCUGGCGCGGGAGUGGCGCGAUCAGGUGCUUGGCCACGAGCCGGGCAAGCGGGGUCCCUGCCCAGGACGGACGGCGCGCUGCCGUGGGUGGAGCUGUCCCACAGGGGCCGGGCCACACCCACUCUGUGAGUCUCUCGCAGUGAUUAUGACGGAAGGAAGACAUACCAGAACCAAGUGCUGGCUCAGAGGUGUGGACCUAGUCUUGAAGCCCUGUGAUGAACAGAAUCUGUUUCCAGUGUCUCUUGGGCACCUCUGCUGACUCAUCCAUGCCCUGAGAGGACGCAGCCAGAGGACACAGCCAAGGGGCAGCCCCCACCACACAGCGUGCCAUUUGAACUCCGAACUUGUGGAACGGUGACCUAAACACACCGCUUCUUCCCAGGCAGCCCGUGUCAGCGGACUCGCACAACUGCCUCUUUUUUUCCACCGUGACUAUGGUGCUCUCCCGCUUUUCAGCAGUAGCCCACUAUUUUUAUUUACAAUAUGGACAAAAGCAGCUUGUCCACUGGGACCUCUAUGCUCCGACUCUGGUGGAUGCAGGCAAACCUCUGUCCUGUCGGGGAAAUAGCUCAGGCACCGACGCUGGAGAAUGAAGCACUGCUCCUCGGGCAGACAGGGGAAAGAUGACCAGCGCUAACAGGUAGUAGUGGCUGCUAUUUACUGAGCAUUUUCUUAGCACCGGGCAUUGCACUCUGCUUGAUGGGCGCUGUCUUAUAUGUCUUCAGAUAACUCUGUGAGGCAGGUAUUAUGAUCCCCAAAUUAUGGAUAAGGGAAGAGAUCAGAGACAAGUAGCUUUGGAAGAGGUCACACAGCAAGGAGGGGUGGAGCUGGGAUUCAAACCCAGAUUCAGGUGGCUGGAGGAAUGCACUCACUGGUGAAUCCAGGGGUGGCAGAGAAAUGGGAGUGUGGUAUAGCUCAGCCAUUCCCUGAGAACGUUAGAGCUUCUCAAAGUUAUUUCUUAAAUGUUUAUUUAUUUAUGAGAAAGAGCAAGAAAGCAGGAGAGACAGACAAUCUGUUGCUUUAUUCUCCAAAUGCUUGCAACAGCCUGGGCUGAGCCAAGGUCAAAGGCCAAAGCCAGGAGCCCAGAAGUCAGUCUAGGUCUCCCCUGUGGGUGGCAGGGAGCCAAGCACUUGAACCAUUACCUGCUGUCUCCCAGGGUGCACAUUAGCAGGAAGCUGAUUGGAAGCAAAGAAGGCUGGACUUGAACCAAGCACCUUGUUAUGUGAUGUGGCUAUAUGAUGUGGGUGGGCUAUACCCAC
RNAcentral lists this long non-coding RNA (1450 nucleotides) under Oryctolagus cuniculus (rabbit). Its description in RNAcentral is "lncRNA (ENSOCUG00000039441.1)". The record is from RNAcentral. Lineage: Eukaryota; Metazoa; Chordata; Mammalia; Lagomorpha; Leporidae.